RNAcentral lists this ribosomal RNA (397 nucleotides) under Botuliformidae sp. RNAcentral describes it as "partial small subunit ribosomal RNA". It matches the Rfam family "Eukaryotic small subunit ribosomal RNA", at positions 582 to 975 of the family's 1831-position model. The record is from RNAcentral. Lineage: Eukaryota; Cercozoa; Thecofilosea.
AUUCCAGCUCCAAUAGCGUAUAUUAAAGUUGUUGCAGUUAAAAAGCUCGUAGUUGGAUUUCUGUUUUUCUUCCCUUUCCCUCUUCCCCUUUUUUCUUGUGUGCCUGCUGUGCGUCUGCUAUCCUUCUAGAAAACGUUCGUACCCUUCACUGGGCCGCGUUCGAGAUCUAGAUCUUUUACUUUGAAAAAAUUAGAGUGUUUAAAGCAGGCAGUUGCUAUGAAUACAUUAGCAUGGAAUAAUAAUCUAGGACUUCGGUUCUAUUUUGUUGGUUUCUAGUACUGAAGUAAUGAUUGAUAGGGAUAGUUGGGGGUGCUAGUAUUGAGCGGCCAGAGGUGAAAUUCUUGGAUUCGCUCAAGACUAACUUAUGCGAAAGCAUUCACCAAGGAUGUCUUCAUCG